RNAcentral lists this transfer RNA (81 nucleotides) under Rheinheimera pacifica. RNAcentral describes it as "tRNA-Leu". It matches the Rfam family "tRNA". From Rfam's summary of the family: Transfer RNA (tRNA) molecules are approximately 80 nucleotides in length. Their secondary structure includes four short double-helical elements and three loops (D, anti-codon, and T loops). The record is from RNAcentral. Lineage: Bacteria; Pseudomonadati; Pseudomonadota; Gammaproteobacteria; Chromatiales; Chromatiaceae.
GUAGCGAAAUCGGUAGAUGCAGCGGAUUCAAAAUUCGCCGGGGGAAACUACGUGUCGGUUCGAGUCCGGCCCUGGGUACCA